GGGGAAUAUUGGACAAUGGGCGCAAGCCUGAUCCAGCAAUGCCGCGUGUGUGAAGAAGGCCUGCGGGUUGUAAAGCACUUUCAGUGGGGAAGAACGGGCGAGGGUUAAUACCCCUAGCCACUGACGUUACCCACAGAAGAAGCACCGGCUAACUCCGUGCCAGCAGCCGCGGUAAUACGGAGGGUGCAAGCGUUAAUCGGAAUCACUGGGCGUAAAGCGCACGUAGGCGGCACGUUAAGUCAGAUGUGAAACCCCUGGGCUCAACCUGGGAAUGGCAUUUGAUACUGGCGCGCUCGAGUCUGAGAGAGGGAGGUGGAAUUCCAGGUGUAGCGGUGAAAUGCGUAGAUAUCUGGAGGAACACCGGUGGCGAAGGCGGCCUCCUGGCUCAUGACUGACGCUGAGGUGCGAAAGCGUGGGGAGCAAAC
Molecule: ribosomal RNA, 425 nt
Filed under: uncultured bacterium
Lineage: Bacteria
Description: bacterial SSU rRNA
Rfam family: Bacterial small subunit ribosomal RNA
Source: RNAcentral